UGGGGAAUAUUGCACAAUGGGCGCAAGCCUGAUGCAGCCAUGCCGCGUGUAUGAAGAAGGCCUUCGGUUGUAAAGUACUUUCAGCGGGGAGGAAGGCGGUGAGGUUAAUAACCUCGCCGAUUGACGUUACCCGCAGAAGAAGCACCGGCUAACUCCGUACCAG
Molecule: ribosomal RNA, 163 nt
Filed under: uncultured bacterium
Lineage: Bacteria
Description: partial 16S ribosomal RNA
Rfam family: Bacterial small subunit ribosomal RNA
Source: RNAcentral